GCUGGAUCUUUGUAUAUAAAAUAGGGCUGUCUUGAGAUAGAGACCUUGAGGUUUUCUCUGAGAUGUCUGAAGCAAAGUUGUCUAUUAGAAGGUCUCAAUAUUUGAUAUUAGAUAUCAAUAUGUGAUAUUAAUAGCUAUGUGAUAUUAGACAAACCACCUACUUUUUUCAAGCUUCAAUUUUCUCAUUUAUGAGAUGGAGAGAUGAUGAUGCUGUGGUUUGAACAUGUCCUUCAAAACUUCAUAUGUGGGAAAUUUAAUCCUCAAAUUUGUAUGUUAAUGGUAUUUGGAGGUGGGGACUUUGGAAGCCAAUCAGGAUUAGAUGUGAUCCUUAGAGUGAGGCCCUAUGAAGGCAUUAGUGGCUGUAUCAGAAGAGAGAUUCAAGGUAGAACCCUUGCUCUGUCUUCCCAUGCGAUGCAAACUACCAUGUUGUGAUGCAGCAAGAAACCCUCACCAGAGGCCAAGCAGAUGCCAGCUCCAUGCUCUAGGACUUUUUAGCUUCCAGACCAUGGGCCAAAAAACCCUGUAUUCUUUAUAAAUCAUCCAGUGUCAGGUAUUUUGUUAUAGUAACAGAAAACUAAUAAAACUAAAAACUGAUAACGAGGUUGAUCAAAGAUACCCACCUUACAGCGUAUGAAACAAGUAAAAAUAUGAUGAAGUAUUUGAGCAAAAGCUCCCAGGACCACUGAGCAACAUAAAGAUACAAUCUUUUCAUUUGUGUCCAGCACAGGUUCAUUUACAAAGUAAUUUUGAGGGAAUUAAUGGUAAAGUCGGUGGAAGGAAUGAGGAAGGACAUUGACUAGCAUCUGUUCCUGGAUUAAAUGGGAUGUUGGAUGAAGCUCAAAUCUCAAGAAGAGGCAAGACAAGACUAAAGAAGGAGCUAAGAGAAAUCACUCCCGAUCCAUUUAUAUUAUGAGGCCUUAGGGGCAAGAAGGUGGUGGAGAUGCUGUGAGCCUGCCCUGCAUUCUCGUCUGGGCCCCAUAAAAGAGGACGAAUGGAGGGACACCUAGGGGAUGGGCUCGAUUCUGAAGCUGAUGGGUGAGAGAAAGGGCGCUGAAUGGGAAUUCACUUGGGGUACGCAUCACAUCCAAGCGUGCAUUUGGAUAAAGCCUUUACCUCAACAGGCUCUUGUGCCAUCCUUACCAGAUUGGUCUUUUGCUGUGGGUGCUUCACAACAAGGUGAGUUUUGAUUUUCUGUGAGACUUCAUGCUGACAAUAGCUUCUGAGAGGUACUAUUUAGCCACACAUGACCCCUGAGAUUGCUCUGACUCCGUCACCUACAUCUUGUGUGUCUAUGUUUUUAUGUAACUGAUAUCAGAUGUAUAUGCUGUAGAAAUUUUUCUAAAAUUUCUUUACUCAGCUAUCUCUCUUAGAAAUUUUUCUAUAUUUUGGUACCCAUAGAUUUAACUAAGUUUUUAAUAGUGUCAGAGCAUUUUCUAGCACCAUUUACCAUAUCUUUGAAAUUAAAGUUGUUCUGGACAGUGCUUCUGUUAUGGUUUGAAUAUGUUAAGGUCCAUAUGUUAAGGGCUCGGUCCCCAAGGUCUUGGGGUGUUGGAAACUUUGGGAGGUGGGGCCUGGUGGGAGAUCCUUAGGUCACUGGGGAAGUGCUCUCAAGAGGUAUUGUGGGACCACACCUGUACCCCCCUCUCUGCUCUGGCUUGACAUGUGACCACUUGCUUCUAUCAACACGCCUGCCAUGCUGUGCCACCAUCUCCUGCUUUCACUAGAGGUCAAACAAAAAGGGCUGCCUGAUCUUAGACUUCAGAACUUGGAAACUGUAAGCUAAAUAAAACUUUUCUUUUUACAAAA
Long non-coding RNA from Marmota monax (woodchuck), 1806 nucleotides. RefSeq lists it as uncharacterized. The transcript has 3 exons. Lineage: Eukaryota; Metazoa; Chordata; Mammalia; Rodentia; Sciuridae. The record is from RefSeq and is a predicted model, not a curated record.